CCGCCGGCGACCGGCGCACGGGUGAGUAACACGUAUGCAACCUGCCCCUGUCAGGGGGACAACCCGCCGAAAGGCGGGCUAAACCCGCGUACAUGCCACCGGGGCAUCCCGGAGGCAGGAAAGGCUUCGGCCGGACAGGGAUGUGCAUGCGGCGCAUUAGGCAGUAGGCGGGGUAACGGCCCACCUAACCGACGAUGCGUAGGGGUUCUGAGAGGAAGGUCCCCCACACUGGUACUGAGACACGGACCAGACUCCUACGGGAGGCAGCAG
This 270-nucleotide ribosomal RNA is filed under the name uncultured bacterium. RNAcentral's name for it is "partial 16S ribosomal RNA". It matches the Rfam family "Bacterial small subunit ribosomal RNA", at positions 85 to 354 of the family's 1533-position model. The record is from RNAcentral.